This 443-nucleotide ribosomal RNA is filed under the name HMWdDNA-degrading marine bacterium 54. Its description in RNAcentral is "bacterial SSU rRNA". It matches the Rfam family "Bacterial small subunit ribosomal RNA", at positions 20 to 468 of the family's 1533-position model. The record is from RNAcentral.
UGGCUCAGAUUGAACGCUGGCGGCAGGCCUAACACAUGCAAGUCGAACGGUAGCAGGAUGUGCUUGCACAUCGCUGACGAGUGGCGGACGGGUGAGUAAUGCUUGGGAACUUGCCUUUGCGAGGGGGAUAACAGUUGGAAACGACUGCUAAUACCGCAUAACGUCUACGGACCAAACGGGGCUUAGGCUCCGGCGCAGAGAGAGGCCCAAGUGAGAUUAGCUAGUUGGUGAGGUAAAGGCUCACCAAGGCGACGAUCUCUAGCUGUUCUGAGAGGAAGAUCAGCCACACUGGGACUGAGACACGGCCCAGACUCCUACGGGAGGCAGCAGUGGGGAAUAUUGCACAAUGGGGGAAACCCUGAUGCAGCCAUGCCGCGUGUGUGAAGAAGGCCUUCGGGUUGUAAAGCACUUUCAGUUGUGAGGAAAAGUGAGUAGUUAAUACC